RNAcentral lists this ribosomal RNA (165 nucleotides) under Segatella copri. RNAcentral's name for it is "partial 23S ribosomal RNA". It matches the Rfam family "Bacterial large subunit ribosomal RNA", at positions 2748 to 2925 of the family's 2925-position model. Lineage: Bacteria; Pseudomonadati; Bacteroidota; Bacteroidia; Bacteroidales; Prevotellaceae. The record is from RNAcentral.
UCUGAGUCUGGAUUGGAUAAGCGCUGAAAGCAUCUAAGUGCGAAGCCAGCCGCAAGAUGAGAACUCCAUUGAGGGUCGUCAGAGACGAUGACGUUGAUAGGAUGCAGGUGUAAAGACAGCGAUGUCAAAGCCGAGCAUUACUAAUUGCCCGAACACUUUCUUUAG